Molecule: ribosomal RNA, 466 nt
Filed under: uncultured bacterium
Lineage: Bacteria
Description: partial 16S ribosomal RNA
Rfam family: Bacterial small subunit ribosomal RNA
Source: RNAcentral
GAUGAACGCUGGCGGCGUGCUUAACACAUGCAAGUCGAACGAUGAAGCCCAGCUUGCUGGGUGGAUUAGUGGCGAACGGGUGAGUAACACGUGAGUAACCUGCCCUUAACUCUGGGAUAAGCCUGGGAAACUGGGUCUAAUACCGGAUAGGAGCGUCCACCGCAUGGUGGGUGUUGGAAAGAUUUAUCGGUUUUGGAUGGACUCGCGGCUUAUCAGCUUGUUGGUGAGGUAAUGGCUCACCAAGGCGACGACGGGUAGCCGGCCUGAGAGGGUGACCGGGAACACUGGGACAGAGACACGGCACAGACUCCAACGGGAGGCAGCAGUGGGGAAUAUUGCACAAUGAGAGCAAGACUGAUGCAGAGACGCCGCGUGAGGGAUGACGGCCUUCGGGUUGUAAACCUCUUUCAGUAGGGAAGAAGCGAAAGUGACGGUACCUGCAGAAGAAGCACCGGCUAACUACGUG